UAUCUCCCUCCCGUAUGAAAUGCUAAAAUCUCAAUUCCUCUCUUAAAAUUCCGUCUCCUAAUAAAUCCUCAACGCCUCCACCAAUUCUCUCAUUUGAAUUCAAGUUUAGAAAUACGAACUCUCUCUCUUAGACUGGUCCCUAAUGUUAAAUCCCUGGGGCAAAUCACGUGUAAGGUAUCUUUUUCUCUCUCUUUAUGGGUUUUAAUCUCACACAAACACAUACAUACCCGAAAACGCACCGCCAUCAAACCACUUACCGCCACCAUCGCAGAAAAUCCAUCAUGCCAGUCGUCGCCGCCUACCACCACCUUCGUAAUCUCCAUUAGCCACCACAGGUACCCUCGAGACCAUCUUCAACACCUUUAUUUUAGAUUUAUAGGUUUGGAUAUUGUUGUUCCAUUUUUCUUCUUUUCGCUUUAUACCCUCGAUUUUGUAGUUGUAACAUACCAACACCUUCGUCGCCAUCAGCCACCAGAGGGUAAAACCAUAUUUUUUGUAUAUUUUUUUCGAUUAAAAGAUUUUGGAUUUUGUUGUUAAUUUUUCUUUUUGACUUAUAGGUUCAUCUUUCAGGUAAGUAUGCACCAAGGGUUAUCUAUCUGAGUAUCGUUUGUACACGUUCCCUCUGAUUUAGUUUUUAUAUCGAUUUUCUUUUUCCCUCAAUUCUUGAUUUUGAUUAACUUGUGGUUUUUGAUUCUAAUGAAGGGUUGAUGUUGGUUCCAUCUCUCUUUCACUCUCACAUAACGUUGUCGAUCCUCAGGGUUUAUAUCACCUCCCUCAUAGAUUAAAGCAAGGACCAAACAAGAAUCAAACAAGGCAAAAGUUGAUUCAAAAGCUAUUUACCGACUAAAGAUGUGUUUCAUUUCAUAUUCUAAUCUAUAUGUUAUGUAUUUAUUUAUUUUGUGAAUUAAUUCUAAUUUUAUUAGAUUUUCAGAUUUUGUGGGUUCUUGAAAUUUGUGAUUGAUGGUGAAGUUUUUUGUUUUUUUUUUCAAGUUAUGUUGAGUUGUACAUAGCUUGCUUCAAUCUUUUCCUCUAAAAAAUGUGAAAUCUACAAGUUCAUUGCAUAUCUGUUCCUUCUCCAUCUUCAUUUCAUAAAAAAAUCCAAUGGAUUAUUUAUUUUGAGUGUUCAGUGGAAUGGAAUGGGUUAUUCCAAUAAAAUGGAAAAAAAAAAACAUAUGUUUCUGAGUUUGUUUUCUUCUAUAGGGUAUGUGAUUUGUGUUUUGUUCUCAUAUUAAGUGGUUUGAGUGAUAACUUUCAUAUGGGUAUCAAAAUUAGGGGUGUUGAUCGGGUAAAGUUUUCGGGUUUCGGGUAGAACAUGUCGGGUAGUUCGGGUAUUUCAUUAAAAUAAUAAAACUCGAUACCCGGCCUAUAUUGUAAUUUGGAUUCUUGGGUUUCGGGUAUUCAGGUUUUAGGUCGGGUGAGGUAUUUUCGGGUAUACCCGAAAAUUACUUAAAUGUCACAUACUGAUUUUUUUAAAUUCUUUUUUCGCAUUUUGCUUGCUUUAAUAAAAAAUUGGGUAACAAAAUAUUCCAUACAAUUAAUAAGUAUAUAUAUAAUAACAAUACAAGUCAUUAUAAUAUGUUAUGUGAUUUUUGCAUUCCAUUUCAAAUUUUGAUAAAAAACAGUUUUAUGAAGUACAUGAUCAAUGUUUGAUCAAAUUUGAAUUAACCAAACAUGUUACAUUAUUUAAUUCAAAAAGUGAGUAUAGAAAGUUAUAAUUUUUUUUAGCAUGUUAUCUAAAUUGCAGGGACCAAUUAUAUUGCUAUAUAUCAAUUCACAAAGAAGAAAUGACAAAAAAGAAACAUGUGCAUAGUUGAAAAAAAAAGAAACAAAUUCGUAGUGCACAAAGAAAAUGAAGAGGAAUCUAACAUCUUAUUCAUUUUCAUUAUAUUUGUUGUAACAUUCUGUUCAAAACUUCAUUUCAUUUUCAACAAUUUCUUUUGUAUUUGUUAUAUACCGUUCAAAUAAGAAGUCAUAUAACAUUUGGUUUAAACUAUAAAGAACAAUAAUUAUGUAAAAUAAUGAUACAACUUUAAUAGUUAUUAUAACUAAUGUAUUAAUUAGUCUUUUUUUUCUAAAUCGGGUAUUCAGGUAUACCUGAAUUUUUAUAAACCUACCCAAUAUCCGACCUAUUUAAAUAUCGGGUUACCCAAUUACCCGAAUUUUCAAACCCGAAACCCGAUUUACCCGACCCGAUCUACCUGAAUUUUAAACGGGUCGGGCCGAGUAAUCAGGUAUUGGGUAUUUUCAACAGGCCUAAUCAAAAUUACUAUUUAGUUUUGGUUUUAUGAUUUUUAAGGUUAAUACAAUUAAAUGGGCUAUUUAAGGACAAAGCAACUUUACUAAAGUAAGCUUUUACAUAAGCGUCUCUCUCUCUCUCUCUCUCUCUCUCUCUCUCUCUCUCUCUCUCUCUCUCUCUCUCUCUCCUGAUGCCUUAUCUAAGGCCAAAUAAACUUUACGAAAGUGCAAGGAGCUUACUGGAGAAAAUAAAAGAAGAUCCCCCUUCUAAGCCUAAAUUCUACCAUCUAUUGGAAGCCUAAAAAACUGGAGGAAGCCAUAACACUCCAUCCAAAGAGGGAAAAAGACUCAUUGAAGAUGGUGGAGAUGAUAGAGCUUAUUGUUGUCAAAAUUUUAAGGUUGUUUUACUCGAAGUCGAUGUUGGUUUACUCUAAAUAGGAAACAUAUUAAAGCAUGUAUUUUCGCAUGAGAUACUUCUCUUAAGUCACUCUUUUCCUACCUAGCAAUCAAGAAUAUUUGGGCUUCAGAAGUUAUAGCUUUUGGAUUUUAUGUUCAACAAAUAGACUCAUUGAAGAUGGUGGAGAUGAUAGAGCUUAUUGUUGUCAAAAUUUUAAGGUUGUUUUACUCGAAGUCGAUGUUGGUUUACUCUAAAUAGGAAACAUAUUAAAGCAUGUAUUUUCGCAUGAGAUACUUCUCUUAAGUCACUCUUUUCCUACCUAGCAAUCAAGAAUAUUUGGGCUUCAGAAGUUAUAGCUUUUGGAUUUUAUGUUCAACAAAUAGGUAUCAAAAAGAAAAAUAAUGACUUUUGUUUUGUUUUGCUAACUGUUUAGAAGUUAACCUAACCGUGUGUAUGUUUGUUGCAAUCUUCAUAAUAUAGAAUUUUGUGUCAACAUUUUCAAUUUUA
Long non-coding RNA from Lactuca sativa (garden lettuce), 3139 nucleotides. RefSeq lists it as uncharacterized. The record is from RefSeq and is a predicted model, not a curated record. NCBI's taxonomy places the organism in Eukaryota, Viridiplantae, Streptophyta, Magnoliopsida, Asterales, Asteraceae.